Molecule: long non-coding RNA, 2267 nt
Organism: Anopheles merus
Lineage: Eukaryota; Metazoa; Arthropoda; Insecta; Diptera; Culicidae
Exons: 3
Source: RefSeq, a predicted model, not a curated record
UUUUGACAGUUCGGUAAGAGGUUGUUUAUGUUCUCAGACCUACGGCAUGUGAACUCGUGUAGAAACAAACAUUGUAAAUCUGUGUCGCGCAAUAGAGUUGUGAAAAAUCACUAGAUUUGUACAAAGCAUAUCGUUUAUAUUGAUCUAAGUACAUCAAACGGCUUUCUAAAAAGUGAGCAUCAUGUCAACAUGCGCUGCAUCCUUUUGCCAACACAGCCGCUACAUGGUGAAAAAAAUGGGUCUGGAUGUAAUUUUUCAUAAAUUUCCAACCGACCCAACGCUAUUAUGCAAAUGGGUAGAAUCAACGAGAGGAUGCUUGGGUGCCAUCGAUAAGCAGCAUUUUAUGUUCAGCACAUUUCAACAAAACUGACUACCAGCUAAUCAAUUCGCCUUCGAAGGCUAAUAGAAAAAUUUUAAAAAAGCUUAAGCCGUCUGGGUUCAUACAUGUAGCUGCUGUUUCUCCGACGUUUCGCCCAACGUCGAUGUUUUACUCCGAAUCGAGUUCAUGUUUUCCUUCGUAGACCAUAAGGUUACUCCGACUUUUAAGUAUUGAACGAGUUAUUAGGAACGCAAUGAUAAGCAACCAGAAAGUAAAUAAUCAAGUUCAUUAUUAAAACCAGGUCUAAUUAUCGUGAACGAUUCGCAAAGACUAAUAUGAUCUGCAUACAUCAUCUACAUCAGUGGUCUCCAACCUGUGGUCCGUUGCGUUAACAGACGUGGUCCACGAAAGAAUUAUUUUUGAAAAAGAAAAGCUUAAUACUAUAGCUUAUCGUACACAAUCAUUAUAAAAUGAGAUUUAAACAUAUUUUUGAUCAAAAACAUUAAGCAAAGUUAAAAAAAGUAUGCACUCAUUAGAUGUGGGCCGCGGCAAAUGUAUUUUCAAGCCAAGUGGUCCGCGAUCCUAAAAAGGUUGGAGAGCACUGAUCUACAUCAUUGCACACAUCUUGCUUUCUCAAACUUCCUCCUCAAAUUGUGCCAUUAACCCUUACCGUUUUAAAUUUUGUUUGCUUCGUUGUUCCCAGUUGCUUCAUUAAAAUGUGCGCAACAUAUCUUCUUACAGGUCAUCCACCACAUCCGAAGUUCUAUUUUACUUUAUGUGAUUUUAGUACUAUUUUCAUUUCUGACAUCCGUUCAACGCAGGUUUUACAGGAAAGAGCUUCUUUUUAAAAUCCUGCGAUUGAUUUGUUCGUAAAAUCCUACCGUGUAUGCUUCCGCCGUGAAUCGCUCCGGUGCGAUACUUUUCGAUGUUCAUAUAGAUCUGCACAUACAUUCAUUUAUUUUUGGUAAUCGAUGGUUUGUCCGCCAGUUCACCAUCGACCGAAUUGUCUUAUACAGUAAUUCAACAUACAUGACGGUAUCGUUGCUGUUCGAUUCCAUUGUAGCAGAAGGCUUAGCAGAAGGUCCCUUUGAAACGUUGCUUUCGUUUUUGUUCGAUUUUUCUGCAAGAGAAAAUGUGGAAGUUGAUUCAAGUGGCAGUCCCACUACUCCUCGCGAAGCCGUUGGCUUUGGGUUUGAUUCAAUUUUCUUGUCUUCUUUUGGUACUUGAAUCAGUUUUCCUGUGUAUAUCAGAUUAUUUAUUGACUCAUUAUGAAGCACACUUUGUUACGCACCAUUGUGUACCUAGUAUAUUUGCAAAUAAAAAAAAUCAUAAUUAAACUACAUAAAUUCUUGCCUUUCCUAAUGCCAUCGAAGUAACUUUGAUUUUGGAUACUGUCGCCAUGUAGUAGCUGUGAACUCGUGCUCGCCAGAGUGACCUUCAAACAUAGUUAAAGAAGGUAAUCGUUGCGAAAGAAGGUUACAAGUUACAAGUUAUAAACAGUCGCUUUUUGCGUGAUUAGUUGCUAUGCAUUCUCGAUUCACCUACUUUUCUAUAAGUGUGUAUCAAUUGCUUUUGUAUGAAUGGUGUGGCCUGCUUUAUUCCUUAACUGGUACUAUACAAAUUAUUAUACAAAUAAUAAUAAUAAUGAUAAAAAGUUAUUAUAAGUCAAAUAUAAGGUAAAAAUUAUAAUAAUUUAAGACUCUUUUUCUUCAAUGAUGCACAAAACAAAAGCUUAGAUUGAAAUAUUACUAUUCUAUGCUCGAAAGUGAUAAAUAACGGAUGGGAAUUAACGUAGAUAAGUGAAACGGUAAUAUUUUGCUGAAUCAUCUAUUUGUCUACAAAGACUAUUAUACAUAACUUUAAGCGCUUAGUUGUAACAAUAACAGUUAUUCACAUAUAAAAAAUGUAAUAAAUAUUUCUUAAAUAAAAAAUACAUAAAUAUGAGGCA